Panthera pardus (leopard) is the source of this 113-nucleotide ribosomal RNA. The record is from Ensembl. Lineage: Eukaryota; Metazoa; Chordata; Mammalia; Carnivora; Felidae.
GGCAUUUAGUAGAGACUGCUGAGGUCACCUGGUCCCAGCAGACCCCAGAAAACAGCCACAUUCGCUGGUGCUGGGACAAGGUCCUUAAGGGUGAAGACUGGUGCCAGAUGUGU